Molecule: ribosomal RNA, 1556 nt
Filed under: Escherichia coli
Lineage: Bacteria; Pseudomonadati; Pseudomonadota; Gammaproteobacteria; Enterobacterales; Enterobacteriaceae
Description: bacterial SSU rRNA
Rfam family: Bacterial small subunit ribosomal RNA
Source: RNAcentral
UUAAAUUGAAGAGUUUGAUCAUGGCUCAGAUUGAACGCUGGCGGCAGGCCUAACACAUGCAAGUCGAACGGUAACAGGAAGCAGCUUGCUGCUUUGCUGACGAGUGGCGGACGGGUGAGUAAUGUCUGGGAAACUGCCUGAUGGAGGGGGAUAACUACUGGAAACGGUAGCUAAUACCGCAUAACGUCGCAAGACCAAAGAGGGGGACCUUAGGGCCUCUUGCCAUCGGAUGUGCCCAGAUGGGAUUAGCUAGUAGGUGGGGUAACGGCUCACCUAGGCGACGAUCCCUAGCUGGUCUGAGAGGAUGACCAGCCACACUGGAACUGAGACACGGUCCAGACUCCUACGGGAGGCAGCAGUGGGGAAUAUUGCACAAUGGGCGCAAGCCUGAUGCAGCCAUGCCACGUGUAUGAAGAAGGCCUUCGGGUUGUAAAGUACUUUCAGCGGGGAGGAAGGGAGUAAAGUUAAUACCUUUGCUCAUUGACGUUACCCGCAGAAGAAGCACCGGCUAACUCCGUGCCAGCAGCCGCGGUAAUACGGAGGGUGCAAGCGUUAAUCGGAAUUACUGGGCGUAAAGCGCACGCAGGCGGUUUGUUAAGUCAGAUGUGAAAUCCCCGGGCUCAACCUGGGAACUGCAUCUGAUACUGGCAAGCUUGAGUCUCGUAGAGGGGGGUAGAAUUCCAGGUGUAGCGGUGAAAUGCGUAGAGAUCUGGAGGAAUACCGGUGGCGAAGGCGGCCCCCUGGACGAAGACUGACGCUCAGGUGCGAAAGCGUGGGGAGCAAACAGGAUUAGAUACCCUGGUAGUCCACGCCGUAAACGAUGUCGACUUGGAGGUUGUGCCCUUGAGGCGUGGCUUCCGGAGCUAACGCGUUAAGUCGACCGCCUGGGGAGUACGGCCGCAAGGUUAAAACUCAAAUGAAUUGACGGGGGCCCGCACAAGCGGUGGAGCAUGUGGUUUAAUUCGAUGCAACGCGAAGAACCUUACCUGGUCUUGACAUCCACGGAAGUUUUCAGAGAUGAGAAUGUGCCUUCGGGAACCGUGAGACAGGUGCUGCAUGGCUGUCGUCAGCUCGUGUUGUGAAAUGUUGGGUUAAGUCCCGCAACGAGCGCAACCCUUAUCCUUUGUUGCCAGCGGUCCGGCCGGGAACUCAAAGGAGACUGCCAGUGAUAAACUGGAGGAAGGUGGGGAUGACGUCAAGUCAUCAUGGCCCUUACGACCAGGGCUACACACGUGCUACAAUGGCGCAUACAAAGAGAAGCGACCUCGCGAGAGCAAGCGGACCUCAUAAAGUGCGUCGUAGUCCGGAUUGGAGUCUGCAACUCGACUCCAUGAAGUCGGAAUCGCUAGUAAUCGUGGAUCAGAAUGCCACGGUGAAUACGUUCCCGGGCCUUGUACACACCGCCCGUCACACCAUGGGAGUGGGUUGCAAAAGAAGUAGGUAGCUUAACCUUCGGGAGGGCGCUUACCACUUUGUGAUUCAUGACUGGGGUGAAGUCGUAACAAGGUAACCGUAGGGGAACCUGCGGUUGGAUCACCUCCUUACCUUAAAGAAGC